Molecule: non-coding RNA, 887 nt
Organism: Schizosaccharomyces pombe (fission yeast)
Lineage: Eukaryota; Fungi; Ascomycota; Schizosaccharomycetes; Schizosaccharomycetales; Schizosaccharomycetaceae
Source: the annotation of a GenBank genome assembly
CACGUCUUCCUAACCGGCCUUUAAUGGUGAUUCCCAAUUUUCCUUUAUAAGAAUUCCAAACCGCCAAGUCAGCAAAUCGCACUGCUGGUUGACCAUCAUAAUUUAUAAACGUAGAAUUACGGGAUUGAAUAGUUUCAGCAUCAUCGCCUACAUAAGGCUCCGAUUGUACAUCGGUCACAACACAAACAAAGCCCUCGCAACCAAUUUUUUCAGGAACAGCUUCGUUAUCCUCAGUGACUAACAUUAGUUUUUUAACGGUUUUACCAGGGAAAUAGACAAGCUCUUUGUUAUGCAGUGUGUCUUUCCCAUUGUAAGCCAAAAAUGAAACCAAUCCCGACUCAGUAGUACCAUACUGUGGAUAAAUGGUCGCAUUUGGUAAUACUCGUUUGCAUGUAUGAUACAUGUUUGCAGGGACCAUUUCACCGCCUGCUGCUACUAGUUUACAAGCAGGAAAGCAUUCUUCCUUGUCAGGCAUUAUUUGGAGAGUUAGAACAAGGAGAUUGGGUAAAAUAAUUAAACGUUCGCAUCCAGCACGAAGAGCAUAGUAAACAUUCCAAGCAAGCCGUUCAGCCUCUGAAGUGCAAGUAGCCGAUAUCGAAGAGGAUGGGUACAGUAAGUUCCCAUUACAAUACAAGGCAUUAAUCCAACUCAAGGUUGUUAAAGCAAAGCUGGUAGCCAUUACCAUUGGAGUGGAGAGAUGAUUCAUAAAUUCAGGAGUUCCAUAGUCAUAACCCAAAGCAUAUUUCUUCAUGAGAAAUGGCAUGGAUUUAGGGACUCCUGUGGACCCACUAGAAUGGUUAAUAAGAGCGACUUCCGGCUCUAAUCCAGCUCGAAUACAAGGAGCAUCGAUAUCCAGCGGCAGCGAAGCCAAGGAUGUAGCAUUUAAG